AUUGAACGCUGGCGGCAGGCCUAACACAUGCAAGUCGAGCGGAUGAAGGGAGCUUGCUCCUGGAUUCAGCGGCGGACGGGUGAGUAAUGCCUAGGAAUCUGCCUGGUAGUGGGGGAUAACGUCCGGAAACGGGCGCUAAUACCGCAUACGGCCUGAGGGAGAAAGUGGGGGAUCUUCGGACCUCACGCUAUCAGAUGAGCCUAGGUCGGAUUAGCUAGUUGGUGGGGUAAAGGCCUACCAAGGCGACGAUCCGGAACUGGUCUGAGAGGAUGAUCAGUCACACUGGAACUGAGACACGGUCCAGACUCCUACGGGAGGCAGCAGUGGGGAAUAUUGGACAAUGGGCGAAAGCCUGAUCCAGCCAUGCCGCGUGUGUGAAGAAGGUCUUCGGAUUGUAAAGCACUUUAAGUUGGGAGGAAGGGCAGUAAGUUAAUACCUUGCUGUUUUGACGUUACCAACAGAAUAAGCACCGGCUAACUUCGUG
Molecule: ribosomal RNA, 484 nt
Filed under: uncultured bacterium
Lineage: Bacteria
Description: partial 16S ribosomal RNA
Rfam family: Bacterial small subunit ribosomal RNA
Source: RNAcentral